GACGGGGGAUGCAAGCGUUAUCCGGAAUCACUGGGCGUAAAGCGUCUGUAGGUGGUGAUGCAAGUCACUGGUGCAAAACUCUGGCUCAACCGGAGGAAAGCCAGUGAAACUGCAUGACUAGAGUGUGGGAGAGGUAGAAGGAAUUCCCUGAGUAGCGGUGAAAUGCGUAGAUACAGGGAAGAACACCGGAGGCGAAAGCGGUCUACGGGAACACAACUGACACUGAGAGACGAAAGCUUGGGGAGCGAAUGGG
RNAcentral lists this ribosomal RNA (253 nucleotides) under uncultured bacterium. RNAcentral describes it as "partial 16S ribosomal RNA". It matches the Rfam family "Bacterial small subunit ribosomal RNA", at positions 524 to 776 of the family's 1533-position model. The record is from RNAcentral.